This 204-nucleotide ribosomal RNA is filed under the name uncultured bacterium. RNAcentral's name for it is "partial 16S ribosomal RNA". It matches the Rfam family "Bacterial small subunit ribosomal RNA", at positions 524 to 724 of the family's 1533-position model. The record is from RNAcentral.
CACGUAGGGUGCGAGCGUUGUCCGGAAUUUAUUGGGCGUAAAGAGCUCGUAGGCGGUGUGUCGCGUCGGCCGUGAAAACCUGCAGCUUAACUGUGGGCUUGCGGUCGAUACGGGCAUCACUGGAGUUCGGCAGGGGAGACUGGAAUUCCUGGUGUAGCGGUGAAAUGCGCAGAUAAUCAGGAGGAACACCGGUGGCGAAGGCGG